Molecule: long non-coding RNA, 1590 nt
Filed under: Erythranthe guttata (spotted monkey flower)
Lineage: Eukaryota; Viridiplantae; Streptophyta; Magnoliopsida; Lamiales; Phrymaceae
Description: long non-coding RNA (EGUT_LNC002419)
Source: RNAcentral
CCCUAGCAAUAUGUGUUCAUUCAAAGAAGUACAAAAGAAAAAAAUAUAGUAAACUAAAAUUUUUCAAUCUAUUCAAAAAGAAAGCAGGAAAAUCCAUAACCCAAUGUGUACUCUACCCAUACCAAACACAGUCACAAUUCACAAACACAGAGAUGAGCAACCCAACACACAUUAGCGCACACUACUAACACACACACAUAAAUUGCACUGCAUGAACCGGUUAACACACUUUAGAGUAGACACAUUUUCUCCUGUUAUAUGAGGAAAAAAUAUCGGAAAAAAAAAUCCACAUGAUAAGUGAAUUUCAAGAAAAUAUAAUAUACGGACAUACUAUUAAAUUUUACAGCAAUGUUUGAGAAGGCGGAUCUUUAACUGACUGCAACAACAUCAAUCAACAUAGAGAGAAAAUCAAACACACGAUAAGAUGAAACAUAACACAGAAUAGAGAGAAAUAAAAAAAAUAACCAUAACCGAACAUAUUUCUUGUCAAGGUCUUCAAACUCCUAAAUUAUGUUUCGCCUAGACAUAAUGUUUUCGUAAAAACUCAUCCAAUCGUCAAAUCUCAGCCUAGAAUACAUAUAACGAAUAUAUUAAAAAGAAAAAAAGAACGCCACUUAGAGCAGAGCAACAACCAAAUGAAACCGACUAUAAUUGCAUAUUUGAUAUUGUACAUAAAUUAGUAUUUUGCUUAAUAAUCACCCAAACGACCAAAAAUGACUGCAAUUAUUAGAUGAGUAGAAACGAACCAUGAGAGACUUGGUGAAGGAUAGACAAAACAUCCAACCGAGCGGUAUCAUUGCCGGAAGGGAUUGAAGGGCUUGCAUGUCAAUUGUUGUCCUAUAAAAGACGCCAAUCAAUAUUGAGAAGUAUUCUCCAUAAACCGACAUGUUACAGACUUUCCUUCUGCGAAAUAAUGCAAAGACAAUAAAUUGGGAAACCAUAGCUACUAAAUAGAUCGACACAUUUAAAAUUAAUAAAUAAAAAGAAAUCAUUUGAAUAAAAUUAAAACUGGAAAAGAACCACAUCCUAAAAAAAUUAUGAAUAUCAAGUUAAACCAAUUAAUGUAGAAACCCAUGGAAUUUUUCCAAUAGCCAACAAACAAUGUCGAGUCUCUAAUCACAAACAUCAUCUUCCCUGUCUCAGUGUAGUAAGCAAUACACGAUGAAAAUAGAAUCUAAAAUACCUGCGCUCUUUGUUGGGAUUAAUUCACACGCCAUCUACUACAUGAAUAAUAAGCAUUAAAAAGUCCGAUUUAACAAAUUCGAAUAAAAGAUUCACAAUGAUUCAAAAAAAUUCAGUUCAAUAAUAUCAGAAAGAAACAAAUAAAAACUAAGAAAAUGAGUGAAUACCGUUUUAUAUUGAUUAUGGCACUGGUUUGAGGAGGCAAUUUGAAUUCUUCAGCAGCAAAAUCUCAGAUUUCACUGGGCAGCAUACAAAGUCCUAAUAACUGGUGCAAUGUCGAAGAAUGCAAAAAAAAAAAAUGAAAAAUCUCAUAAGCCAUGACAAAUUGCAGGACACGAUCGAUGAUAUGGGAGAAGAAUAAUAAUGAGAAGACAAAACGUUUACAUGAGUGAAAACGUGGGAGUUAUU